GACCUGGCUGGGUGGUUUCGCCGAAAGGUAAGCACUGCUCUGGUCGGGUCUUUCCUUCUGGGGAACCAACGUGCUCUUAAUUGAGUGCGUUGGGGAUCCAGGACUUUUACUUUGAAAAAAUUAGAGUGUUUAAAGCAGGCCGAUGCGCUUGAAUACAUUAGCAUGGAAUAAUAAAAUAGG
This 180-nucleotide ribosomal RNA is filed under the name uncultured Glomeromycotina. RNAcentral's name for it is "partial small subunit ribosomal RNA". The record is from RNAcentral. Lineage: Eukaryota; Fungi; Glomeromycota.